UCAAAUUGUGUUCUGAAAUAGAAUACGGGUUCUUUACCGACUGAAUUACGUUCAUGUGACAUGCGUUUAUAUGGACACAACCGACCUGUAAAGGCUUUAUUGCUCCUAAGCCGUCAGUCGUGACGCAAACAAAACAUUUGUGCCAACAAACUGAGUGAUUUACGAGUAUUAUAUGCGAGCUGUCGCACGCCGAGUCGUACAGCCGUCAAAACAGAAGGAGCAGCAUGUACAUCUACCUAGCGAUCGCAUUCUUGGCGCUCAGCGUGUGUGUGGUCAGUGGCCAAUUGGGAGGUUAUGGCAUCCUGCCUUUCGACAUUAGCAGUCUUACAUUUUGGCUGACUCGCCGAGAAGCAGAAGAGGAGUAAGCCGUUGCGCCGCACCUACUGCGAUUGUCCCGUCAGCCGCCCUACACGACUCCACUAGCUCUGGGUUCAGGACUGACCCUUGGACAACUCAUGUAAUCAAACAGACAAUAAAUUGCUAAGCAACA
Molecule: long non-coding RNA, 490 nt
Organism: Cryptotermes secundus
Lineage: Eukaryota; Metazoa; Arthropoda; Insecta; Blattodea; Kalotermitidae
Exons: 3
Source: RefSeq, a predicted model, not a curated record